RNAcentral lists this ribosomal RNA (253 nucleotides) under uncultured bacterium. RNAcentral describes it as "partial 16S ribosomal RNA". It matches the Rfam family "Bacterial small subunit ribosomal RNA", at positions 524 to 776 of the family's 1533-position model. The record is from RNAcentral.
UACGAAGGGGGCUAGCGUUGUUCGGAAUCACUGGGCGUAAAGGGCGCGUAGGCGGCCUGCUAAGUCGAACGUGAAAUCCCUCGGCUUAACCGAGGAACUGCCUGUCAGACUGCAUGGCUUGAGACCGGGAGAGGUGAGUGGAAUUCCCAGUGUAGCGGUGAAAUGCGUAGAUAUUGGGAGGAACACCAGUGGCGAAGGCGGCUCACUGGACCGGUACUGACGCUGAGGCGCGAAAGCGUGGGGAGCAAACAGG